GAAUGGGGAAACCCAGUGUGUUUCGACACACUAUCAUUAACUGAAUCCAUAGGUUAAUGAGGCGAACCGGGGGAACUGAAACAUCUAAGUACCCCGAGGAAAAGAAAUCAACCGAGAUUCCCCCAGUAGCGGCGAGCGAACGGGGAGCAGCCCAGAGCCUGAAUCAGUAUGUGUGUUAGUGGAAGCGUCUGGAAAGGCGCGCGAUACAGGGUGACAGCCCCGUACACAAAAAUGCACAUGCUGUGAGCUCGAUGAGUAGGGCGGGACACGUGGUAUCCUGUCUGAAUAUGGGGGGACCAUCCUCCAAGGCUAAAUACUCCUGACUGACCGAUAGUGAACCAGUACCGUGAGGGAAAGGCGAAAAGAACCCCGGCGAGGGGAGUGAAAAAGAACCUGAAACCGUGUACGUACAAGCAGUGGGAGCACGCUUAGGCGUGUGACUGCGUACCUUUUG
Molecule: ribosomal RNA, 454 nt
Filed under: Escherichia coli
Lineage: Bacteria; Pseudomonadati; Pseudomonadota; Gammaproteobacteria; Enterobacterales; Enterobacteriaceae
Description: bacterial LSU rRNA
Rfam family: Bacterial large subunit ribosomal RNA
Source: RNAcentral